Heterocephalus glaber (naked mole-rat) is the source of this 2105-nucleotide long non-coding RNA. RefSeq lists it as uncharacterized. The record is from RefSeq and is a predicted model, not a curated record. Lineage: Eukaryota; Metazoa; Chordata; Mammalia; Rodentia; Bathyergidae.
GCGCUCGCUGCGCCCGCACGCAGGCGCAGUGCUCGGGCUGGAGGGAGAACUAGUGUCUGCCCCACUUCCGCGCAGGGAUUCUCCAUCUCAGCUCUUUGUACAGGCUUCUCUCGCACCACUACCUGGACUGUUUGGUGCUCUCUUUCACCGGUCUCAUCAUCGCAGUCCGCUGGAUGUCCGCCUCAAAUACGCACGCGUGAAAGCCACGGCGAGGGUCCAAGGCGUGGAAGGCGCCACACACCGAUGACCUAACACGUUUAGUCUACUUCAGAGACGGCGUAACACUAAACAGCAGGUGGAAAGUCACGGGACCUACGGGAGGCAGUGGGAAGGCAGAGAAAAGGUCUUGGGAGCAGGAAGCUUAUAUGGGACAUGAUUCCAGUGAGCAUAAACGGGAAAAGAGAAAAAUGAAUCAGAGAUAAGAAAAUGUGAAAAGAAGAACUCAAUAAAGACAAGACUCAAUAAAAGCAAGACCAUCAAGAACUUAGAUCCUUCAUGAACAAAAGUUUGUGUCACUAUCAAGAUAAAGGUCCACAACUAGCCAAAACUAAGAACAGUGGGAAUGUGAAAUAAGAAGUGGCAGAGGGAAGUGCUGAGUAUCAACUUUGUGCUUAUGAUUGGUUUAAAAAAAUGACUGAGAAUGGCAUGCAUUUUUAUUUUACAUUAAUAUUAAUUUGUCCCCUUUCUGUAUUAUUGUGUACAAAGUAUGCCAAUGGUGUUUGUUUGUUUGUUUUUUGGUACCAGGGAUCAAACUCAGGUCCUUGUACUUGCAAGGCAGGCAGCAGAACCACUGAGCUAAAUCCCCAGCCCUGCCAAUGGUACUUUACUUAACCAAUUAGUUCACAUGUCACUAAAAUUUGAGAAUCCAUGGUUUAAUGGGAAAAACUAUGUAUUCCCUAGACCUCUUCGACCUUUAAGAUUGUAAUAGUAACAAAUCUCACCCAUGUUGAGGACACUACAAAGGCAUCUUCAUUUGUAUAUUGUAUAGUUGUAUGCUGUUUGAAGCACAGAGUUGUUGUAAUAUAGGAGGUAAAUAUCUUGGAUAGCAGAAGAUGUGGACCAUGCCAAUUAUUUGCCUAUUUGUUCUUGAAUCUAUUCUCUGGUUUUCCUAUGGAUCAAUCUCUCAAGGAAAUACAUUUCCCAGGAUCCCUGGACAAGUGGCUUCCAGGUAAGUUUGGCCAAUAGGAGGCUCUAGUAGAACACUGGAGUAGUUCCAUACUCCAGAAAGAAGUAUCAGGGUAUUUCAUUCCCUUCUCAGGUCGUGUUUCUCAGCCAGUUUCUCUGGCUGUGUUACCACUGUGUCUCCAGGUCUCACUAAACAAUUCUUUACUUCAUGAUCUGCAUUUCCUGCCAUGAUACUAGCUCUUGGGUGGCACCAGCUUCAGUCUCUGAUAAUAAGAACCCUCUGCUGUCCCUCUACUACUUACUAGAAGUAGUAGCAGCUGUACAAUGUUACUAAUCUCUGGUUUAUUUCACUGUCUAAUGUUUGACUUCUCACCUCUUCCAUCAACUGUAGAGAUAAUACUCUGGAUUAAAAUUCCUCUGCUUUUCAGACCUAGAAUAGAUUGUUUUCUUGAUGAACCUAAUAUCUAACCUAAUGUUUAUCCUGUGCCCAGUCUGGUCCAUAGGAUGUUAUAACCCACUGCUGGCAACUUGGCCCACUAAGAAGGAUCUGGCUGGUAGUGAUCAUUGCAGGGGUGGAUAUAAGCAGAAUUAACUAUGAGAGGUGAAAGUUAUAGUUGCUAAAAUGUGGGUUGGAUGUAAGGAAUACAUGAGCCCACCUGCCCUUAGCCCUUUUAAUUUCACAACCUGCACUGUCUAACACAGUAGCCACUAGCACUAUAAAUGAAUUGAAAUGUGGCUCAUCUGAAUUAAUAUUUGUAUUAAAUGUAAAUUGCACACCAGAUUUCAAAGACUAGGUGUGAAAAAAUAUCACAAUAAUAAUUUUUAUAUUGAUUUGGGGGCAUAUUAUGCUAAAUAAAUUUUAUACUGAUAAAAUUAAUUUUACCUGUUUCUUUUUACUUUUUAAGGUGGCUACUAGAAAACUUAAAGUUACACAUGGCACCCAGGCAUGAUGGCACAUGCCUAUAAUCCCAGCACUUGGA